This 117-nucleotide ribosomal RNA is filed under the name Candidatus Shapirobacteria bacterium. Lineage: Bacteria; Candidatus Shapironibacteriota. The record is from RNAcentral.
CUCGGUGAUCGAAGCGCCGUCGAACUACCCCUUUCCAUUCCGAACAGGGUCGUCAAAGGCGGCAGCGGGGACGAUAGUGCCACCGCAAGGUGGUGUGACAAUACCUCAUUGCCGAGG